Lemur catta (Ring-tailed lemur) is the source of this 869-nucleotide long non-coding RNA. RefSeq lists it as uncharacterized. The record is from RefSeq and is a predicted model, not a curated record. NCBI's taxonomy places the organism in Eukaryota, Metazoa, Chordata, Mammalia, Primates, Lemuridae. The transcript has 3 exons.
GCUGCGGCUGGAGGCAGCGCCCGGUGCCCCGCGCGGAGCGAGGUCCUGGCGUGGGGCCGCGCGACGGGGCCGCGUCCUGCCCCUCAGGCCCGGGGCGCGUCGACUCCCGCGCUCCGCCAGCUCCCGGUGGUUUCUCGGAAACAUGAUUGUUGGACUUGAUCUCACAGCCUGGUGAGGACUUCUCUACUGCGAAUGUCAAGUUCAGGUUAUCCUCCCACCUCUGUCUAGUAUACCUAUCCCAACACCCACCACCAGCAGAAACCUCCUGCAAACAGACUAGAAGAUUCUUCAUUUCUAAUUUUCUGCAAGCAACUCGGGAGUCCGGGGCUACACCAAUCAGAAGACCAGGCGCCAACCCUCUCUCUUGGGACGGUGACUUUCUGAGGAAGCCGUGUCCCUGAUCCCCAUCACCGUGCCCAUCGGGUCCCACCUCCUGCACCCACUCCCGGAUGGCAGCUUGCAACAACUGGGUGGGAAACCGAGGAACGUGGGGCUGGACUGUGUUGCCUGAGCUGCGUUGACCACUGAAGUCGAUCCUGCCACUGGCUAUGGGGGUUCCAAAGCGAACAGAGAGGAUGGGCACAAAAUGAUCAAAGUGGAAUUUUCCAGGACCGAAGGGUUACAAGUCUAGAGAGACAGGAAUUUUUACAUUACGAAGGGCUACAGAUUGCCAAGUAGGCUGAAAUCUUCUCACAUACCCUUGUAUGUUUUUAAAGGAAAGGGAAACCAAAGAAUUUUGUUUGUAAUUAAGGUUCUUCCUGGGAAUGGGAGUGUGAAGAUCUUUCAUUUUCCAUCGUGUAUAUUUCUAUAUUAUUUGGAUUUUAUUCUGACAAUGACAUUAUAAUCCAAAAAUUAAAAAUAUUUCUAUU